GUGAAUUCGUCGUCAACGUAGACAUCCAGUACUUCCGUCAACACAAAAACGGGCCUGGAAGGCCUUUGAGGAUUCUGAACAAAACGUCCUCAGCAAGUGCAUCAUCAUCAUCACUAACGUUUGCUUCAUUCCAUCUAGUCGGCUGUUGAACGUUUCAUCCUCUUGGCUUGAGAUCCUAAAUUGGUCCAAACAGGCAAGGCGUGACCUUGAGCACCGUUCUGUACUUUCGAUCCUGGAUUAAGCUCUAAAUCGACAAACACAGAGAACCUGCAUGGGUCAAACCUUAGAACAGCACACAUGCUAAGACAGCGGUGGCGCAUUGCCCUUCGAAGACUUUUGUGGAGGCCUGCUCGGCAUGCUUCCUGAGCAGUAGAACAUGUUCAGUAAAAACUUAACUCAGAAAACAAAACACCCUACCUAUUCUUUUUCCAGAUUGUGGAAAGACGAGGGAACCAAAUGAUCUGGCAAGCCCUUCCUCCACAGUGUCUUCCUCUUACAGUGCCAACAAUACAUAUAAGCAUUUUGAUGAGGGCUCCAAUACCCACAGAGCAUGCUGCAGCAGCGGAAUCGGCCAUACAAAUGGAUCCGCGUUGCACCAGCGCCAUGGCCAGGACAACAACAUAGGAUCGGAUCAGAUUGCUCUAGAAACAAGGUACUGGAUUUCAAUACCUGGAUGCUGCCUCGCUCCUAGCGCUAACUAGCCCCUCGCUUCCAAUGUCCAAUCCGAUGCUACAAAGGCAGUUUAUGUGGUAUUAAAUGUGGCAUGGCAAUGUUAAUUAAAACUUUAUAAAUUGUAAUAACUUGAUAUC
This 809-nucleotide long non-coding RNA is filed under the name Selaginella moellendorffii. RNAcentral describes it as "long non-coding RNA (SMOE_LNC001852)". Lineage: Eukaryota; Viridiplantae; Streptophyta; Lycopodiopsida; Selaginellales; Selaginellaceae. The record is from RNAcentral.